CUAUUUGCUUUAUGUAUACUAUAAAUUUAUCUCCUAUUAGCCAAGAACUGUAAUGAGCAUACAUUUGUAUUUAAUUACAGGUAAUAAAAAAUAAUCCAAAAAUAAGCAUGAUUUUUUUUAAAAAAAAAAAAAUGCAAUUUACAUCGGUUCUCUGGAGAACCGAUGUAAAUCAAUUGCAACUUUAAUGUUAAUAACUUGUUAGAAAUUUUAAAAUUCCUUACCCAGACACAAACUUACAUAUUUUGAAGAGUGCGCGAGCGUUUUAGUUUUUUUACUACACAAUUUUGAGUUGUUUUCCGUAAGGUAAAAAGUAAGAAUAAAAAUGUAAAAUUAUUGAAUAUAAGAGAAGGGUAAUUAUGACUUAUGAGCCAUUUAGAAGGCCGAGUCUACUACACUAGUAACAGCACAGACGACGUCGUAUCACAAAACCGAAAGAAGUUCAUAUACCCGACUCGAGGUGCUCGUGUAACGGAUCGUUACUUGCGAAUAUUGAAGAAUCUCCAUCAUCGCAAGAGCACAGAGGCUUCUUCUUGUUCAUCACUCAAAAACUAAAGAGAAAUGGCGGCAACAGACUCAACAUCUUUCCAAUGACUAUUUCAGAGGGCAGCUUCGGCUCAGUUUAGGAGGCCUCUCCUUCAUUUAGUUUCCACUCAAGAAGGAAGGCAGAGGUACCUGAGCCAGUGUGUUCCCCUCCACAAAGCAGCACUGAAGGGUGACUGGAAAGAAGCAAAGAAAAUACUAGAUCAAGACACCACGCUUCUCAACUCUGCCAUAUCAAAGGGUUGGGCAACAGUGCUCCAUGUUGUAGUGGGAGCAAACCAUGAACACUUUGUGGAGGAACUCGUCAAACUCAUGCCACCCCAAGAUUUGGAGCUGCAAGAUGACAAAGGGAACACUGCUUUCUGCUUUGCUGCAGCAGUUGGUAACGUCCACAUUGCUGAGAUAAUGCGCAAAAAAAAUCAACUGUUGCCAACGUUGAGGGGUGGAGAAGGUGUCACUCCUCUUCACUUGGCUGUGUUACAAGGAAGAAGUGAAAUGCCAUGCUAUCUGUUUGAUAAGUCUAAGGAAUUUCUCUAUGAAGAGGAUUGGAUUACACUGUUCCUCAUUUCUAUAAACACUGGACUCUAUGGUAAGCAUGUUGUAUACCUAUCGUCUUAUAUAUUCUCACAAUCAAGAAGACUGAAUUGCUUACCAUAGAGUCCAAUGUUUAUAGAAAUGAGGAACAGUGUAAUCCAAUCCUCUUCAUAGAGAAAUUCCUUAGACUUAUCAAACAGAUAGCAUGCCAUUUCACUUCUUCCUUGUAACACAGCCAGGUGAAGAGGAGUGACACCUCCUCCACCCCUUAACGUUGGCAACAGUUGAUUUUUUCUGCGCAUUAUCUCAGCAAUGUGGACGUUACCAACUGCUGCAGCAAAGCAGAAAGCAGUGUUCCUUUUGUCAUCUUGCAGCUCCAAAUCUUGGUGGCAUGAGUUUGACGAGUUCCUCCACAAAGUG
Cajanus cajan (pigeon pea) is the source of this 1494-nucleotide non-coding RNA. The record is from RefSeq and is a predicted model, not a curated record. Lineage: Eukaryota; Viridiplantae; Streptophyta; Magnoliopsida; Fabales; Fabaceae.